Molecule: long non-coding RNA, 969 nt
Filed under: Brassica rapa (field mustard)
Lineage: Eukaryota; Viridiplantae; Streptophyta; Magnoliopsida; Brassicales; Brassicaceae
Description: long non-coding RNA (BRAP_LNC000593)
Source: RNAcentral
GUAUACAGAGCCUACACAACGUAAAAUGUAGAUACAUGAAUAAAGAUCAACGAACAUUCCUCGCUAAUUCUGACUUUAUCUACCAAACCGACGAAAGUCAGACAAUGCUCCCCUGUCACCCAUUGUUUCACUUUAUUAAGAAAACUUAUUAAACAUCAAACACACUAAACAUAAAGAUUGACUCUUCAAAAUAUAACCACUAGAAAUCGAUCAUCUACAAUUACUUCCCUAAAUCAUUAAUAAAUAAAUUUUCAACGGAAGUGGUUACACCCUUUCCUAUACAUAAACAACCUUAUACUUAUUCCCAUUUCCGAAAACACAAACAAAAACCAUCUCAAAAUGAGAGAAGAACCUUUCUUCUUCCAUUGCCGUUUCUUGGCCUCUUGGUUCAUCUUCUUCCUCGCACUACAAGAAAAAGCACCGCAUGCCGACAGCCAUCUUUGUCGGUAAGUAAUAGGAACAAGCUCGAACCGAUGGUCUUCUGAGAAAACUCAAUUAGUCGGAGUUUGGGUCUCGGAAAUGGAUUGAUGUCGGAGCUGUGUCGGAAAUUUCCGACGAGAUAUAUCCUCGGAAAUUUUGUCGGAAUCGUUUGUCGGAAUACACCGAGACCGUUUCGAUGAAAUGUGAAGCCACAAACUCGUCGAAGCAUGCUCGGAAGUUGGUUUGUCAGAAGUUAAUCGGUAUUUACCGAGGCCUUUCCGAUGAUACAUGACAUUGAAUAUACCGAGGAGAAAUCGUUACUACAGUAUUUCCGGUGAAUCUGUUUUACACUUCUGGGAAAUUGUUUGAAGACCACCGUAAUACACUAAUACAUAAAGAUGUUUUUUCUGGAAAUUUAAUAGAUAAAGACGUUCUUAACAAAGGAACAAAUAUACACCAUUUGAUUAUUAUAAAGAUAUACACGGGAUAUAUAUUGCUUACAAGAAAAAUACAGACUAAAUAACUCAUAAAAACUAAAAAGGAUAAAGG